UGGGGAAUAUUGGACAAUGGAGGGAACUCUGAUCCAGCAAUUCUGUGUGUGUGAAGAAGGUUUUAGGACUGUAAAACACUUUUAGUAGGGAAGAAAAAAAUGACGGUACCUACAGAAGAAGCAACGGCUAAAUACGUGCCAGCAGCCGCGGUAAUACGUAUGUUGCGAGCGUUAUCCGGAAUUAUUGGGCUUAAAGGGCAUCUAGGCGGUAAGACAAGUUGAAGGUGAAAACCUGUGGCUCAACCAUAGGCUUGCCUACAAAACUGUAUAACUAGAGUACUGGAAAGGUGGGUGGAACUACACGAGUAGAGGUGAAAUUCGUAGAUAUGUGUAGGAAUGCCGAUGAUGAACAUAACUCACUGGACAGCAACUGACGCUGAAGUGCGAAAGCUAGGGGAGCAAACAGG
Molecule: ribosomal RNA, 407 nt
Filed under: Verrucomicrobiota bacterium
Lineage: Bacteria; Pseudomonadati; Verrucomicrobiota
Description: Verrucomicrobia bacterium partial 16S ribosomal RNA
Rfam family: Bacterial small subunit ribosomal RNA
Source: RNAcentral